AAAAAAAUUGGAAGCUUCACGAAUUUGCAUGUCAUCCUUGCGCAGGGACCAUGCUAAUCUUCUCUGUAUUGUCUCAAUUUUAGUAUAUGAUUCAGAAAUGAAC
Ostertagia ostertagi is the source of this 103-nucleotide non-coding RNA. NCBI's taxonomy places the organism in Eukaryota, Metazoa, Nematoda, Chromadorea, Rhabditida, Trichostrongylidae. The record is from the annotation of a GenBank genome assembly.